RNAcentral lists this unclassified non-coding RNA (200 nucleotides) under soil metagenome. RNAcentral's name for it is "partial contains internal transcribed spacer 2 and large subunit ribosomal RNA". The record is from RNAcentral.
CUGUUCGAGCGUCAUUUCAACCCUCAAGCCCAGCUUGGUCUUGGACGCGGUCCCGGGACCCGUCCGCAACCCGUUGGCGGCACCGUCCGGCUUCAAGCGUAGCAGAAACCUCGCUUCAGGAGCUCGCGACAGCGCCUGCCGGAGGAACCACACCUUUAAAGUUUGACCUCGGAUCAGGUAGGGAUACCCGCUGAACUUAA